Molecule: ribosomal RNA, 464 nt
Filed under: uncultured bacterium
Lineage: Bacteria
Description: partial 16S ribosomal RNA
Rfam family: Bacterial small subunit ribosomal RNA
Source: RNAcentral
GACGAACGCUGGCGGCGUGCUUAACACAUGCAAGUCGAACGGAAAGGCCCUGCUUGCCGGGUACUCGAGUGGCGAACGGGUGAGUAACACGUGGGUGAUCUGCCCUGCACUUCGGGAUAAGCCUGGGAAACUGGGUCUAAUACCGGAUAGGAGCCAUUUUUAGUGUGAUGGUUGGAAAGUUUUUUCGGUGUAGGAUGAGCUCGCGGCCUAUCAGCUUGUUGGUGGGGUAAUGGCCUACCAAGGCGGCGACGGGUAGCCGGUCUGAGAGGGUGGACGGCCACAUUGGGACUGAGAUACGGCCCAGACUCCUACGGGAGGCAGCAGUGGGGAAUAUUGCACAAUGGGCGCAAGCCUGAUGCAGCGACGCCGCGUGGGGGAUGACGGCCUUCGGGUUGUAAACUCCUUUCGCUAGGGACGAAGCUUUUGUGACGGUACCUAGAUAAGAAGCACCGGCUAACUACGUG